This is a non-coding RNA of Phodopus roborovskii (desert hamster), 1448 nucleotides long. The record is from the annotation of a RefSeq genome assembly. Lineage: Eukaryota; Metazoa; Chordata; Mammalia; Rodentia; Cricetidae.
AUGAGCCAUCACAAUGUGACAGAGGAGGAUUCUGUGUGCAGCCCCCCACUAUGGAAUAUCUUCUACGAGGUUCGUAUCCGUCCCCAAACCCCGGGCCUGUCAAGUACAGUGGCUAUCCAGGCUCUGGAUGUAGGGCUACCUCACUGUGCCUAUGCUUACUUCGAUACCUGGGGCCAGGGGACCCUGGUCACCGUCUCUUCAGGUAAGCAGCUCAUCUGGGGACUGUGGGGUUCCAAGCAACAUUGUGGUGAGGGUUUUAGUAUAGGAGCAGAGGCAGAACAGAGGCUGUGCUACUGGUACUUUGAUGUCUGGGGCCAGGGGACCCUGGUCACCGUCUCCUCAGCCACAACAACAGCCCCAUCUGUCUAUCCACUGGCUCCUGGACACGGAAGCACAGCUGACCCCACGGUGACCCUGGGAUGCCUAGUCAAGGGCUAUUUCCCUGAGCCGGUGACCGUAACCUGGAACUCUGGGGCCCUGACCAGCGGCGUGCACACCUUCCCUUCUGUCCUGCAUUCUGGGCUCUACUCCCUCAGCAGCUCGGUGACGGUAUCUUCCAGCACCUGGCCCAGCCAGACCGUCACCUGCAACGUAGCCCACCCGGCCAGCAGCACCAAGGUGGACAAGAAAAUUGAGCCCAGACCUACAUGUCCUACUAACACUCCGUGUCCGCCGUGUCCAACUCCUGAACUCUUAGGUGGACCAUCCGUCUUCAUCUUCCCCCCAAAGCCCAAGGAUGUGCUCAUGAUCUCCCUGACCCCCAAGAUCACAUGUGUCGUGGUGGACGUGAGCGAGGAAGACAAAGAGGUCCAGUUCAACUGGUUUGUAAACAAUGAAGAAGUGAACACAGCUCAGACCGAGCCCCUGCAGAAGCAGCAUCACAAUAGCACCUACCGUGUGGUCAGCGUCCUCCCCAUCAAGCACCAGGACUGGCUGAGCGGCAAGAAGUUCAAAUGCAAGGUCAACAACAACGCCCUCCCAAGCCCCGUUGAGAAAACCAUCUCCAAACCCAAAGGGCAAGUCCGAGUGCCACAGGUGUACAUCUUUCCUCCACCUGCGGAGCAGAUGACCAAGAAAGAAGUCAGUGUGACCUGCUUGGUCAUGGGCUUCCUCCCUGAGGACAUCCACGUGGAAUGGGAGAGCAAUGGGCGUCCAGAGCAGAACUACAAGAACACAACGCCUGUCUUAGACACAGACGGUUCUUACUUCAUGUACAGCAAGCUCAAUGUGCCAAAGAGCAGAUGGGAUCAGGGAAAUAUCUUCACCUGCUCUGUGAUACAUGAGGCUCUGCACAACCACCACACGACGAAGACCAUCUCCAGGUCUCUGGGUAAAUGAGCUCAGCACCCAGAAAUCUCUUAAGUCCUACGACUUAAGACACUGGCACCCUCCUCCACCCUCCUCCUGUAUAAAUAAAGCACCCAGCACUGCCCUGGGACCCUGUGAAA